AGAGUUUGAUCUUGGCUCAGGACGAACGCUGGCGGCAUGCCUAAUACAUGCAAGUCGAACNAUGAUAUCACUGCUUGCAGUGAUUGAUUAGUGGCGAACGGGUGAGUAACACGUGAGGAACUUGCCCAUGAGCGGGGGACAACAUUCGGAAACGGAUGCUAAUACCCCAUAGGUGGAUUGGUCGCAUGACGAAUUCAUUAAAGGUGGCUUUGCUACCACUCAUGGAUAGCCUCGCGGCGUAUUAGCUAGUUGGUAAGGUAAUGGCUUACCAAGGCAGUGAUACGUAGCCGACUUGAGAGGGUGAUCGGCCACACUGGGACUGAGACACGGCCCAGACUCCUACGGGAGGCAGCAGUAGGGAAUCUUCCACAAUGGGUGCAAACCUGAUGGAGCAAUGCCGCGUGAGUGAAGAAGGUCUUCGGAUCGUAAAGCUCUGUUGUUAGAGAAGAACACGUGCUAGGUAACUACUAGCGCCUUGACGGUAUCUAACCAGAAAGUCACGGCUAACUACGUGCCAGCAGCCGCGGUAAUACGUAGGUGACAAGCGUUGUCCGGAUUUAUUGGGCGUAAAGGGAGCGCAGGCGGUCUGUUUAGUCUAAUGUGAAAGCCCACGGCUUAACCGUGGAACGGCAUUGGAAACUGACAGACUUGAAUGUAGAAGAGGAAAAUGGAAUUCCAAGUGUAGCGGUGGAAUGCGUAGAUAUUUGGAGGAACACCAGUGGCGAAGGCGAUUUUCUGGUCUAACAUUGACGCUGAGGCUCGAAAGCGUGGGGAGCGAACAGGAUUAGAUACCCUGGUAGUCCACGCCGUAAACGAUGAGUGCUAAGUGUUGGGGGCUUUCCGGCCCUCGGUGCUGGAGCUAACGUAUUAAGCACUCCGCCUGGGGAUUACGACCGCAAGGUUGAAACUCAAAAGAAUUGACGGGGACCCGCACAAGCGGUGGAGCAUGUGGUUUAAUUCGAAGCAACGCGAAGAACCUUACCAGCUCUUGACAUCUUCUGACAACUCUAGAGAUAGAGCGUUCCCUUCGGGGACAGAAGACAGGUUGAAACUCAAAAGAAUUGACGGGGACCCGCACAAGCGGUGGAGCAUGUGGUUUAAUUCGAAGCAACGCGAAGA
Molecule: ribosomal RNA, 1119 nt
Filed under: insect metagenome
Description: bacterial SSU rRNA
Rfam family: Bacterial small subunit ribosomal RNA
Source: RNAcentral